GCAACCCUGGUGGCGAGUGGCGGACGGGUGAGUAAUGUAUCGGAACGUGCCCUGAAGUGGGGGAUAACGCAGCGAAAGCUACGCUAAUACCGCAUAUUCUGUGAGCAGGAAAGCAGGGGAUCGCAAGACCUUGCGCUUUGGGAGCGGCCGAUGUCGGAUUAGCUAGUUGGUGGGGUAAAGGCCUACCAAGGCGACGAUCCGUAGCGGGUCUGAGAGGAUGAUCCGCCACACUGGGACUGAGACACGGCCCAGACUCCUACGGGAGGCAGCAGUGGGGAAUUUUGGACAAUGGGCGGAAGCCUGAUCCAGCCAUGCCACGUGAGUGAAGAAGGCCUUCGGGUUGUAAAGCUCUUUCGGCGGGGAAGAAAUUGCUUGGGUUAAUACCCUGAGUAGAUGACGGUACCCGAAUAAGAAGCACCGGCUAACUACGUGCCAGCAGCCGCGGUAAUACGUAGGGUGCGAGCGUUAAUCGGAAUUACUGGGCGUAAAGCGUGCGCAGGCGGUUUUGUAAGUCAGAUGUGAAAUCCCCGGGCUCAACCUGGGAACUGCAUUUGAGACUGCAAGACUGGAGUUUGGCAGAGGGGGGUGGAAUUCCACGUGUAGCAGUGAAAUGCGUAGAG
Molecule: ribosomal RNA, 620 nt
Filed under: uncultured bacterium
Lineage: Bacteria
Description: bacterial SSU rRNA
Rfam family: Bacterial small subunit ribosomal RNA
Source: RNAcentral